RNAcentral lists this ribosomal RNA (252 nucleotides) under uncultured bacterium. RNAcentral describes it as "partial 16S ribosomal RNA". It matches the Rfam family "Bacterial small subunit ribosomal RNA", at positions 524 to 776 of the family's 1533-position model. The record is from RNAcentral.
UACGUAGGUCCCGAGCGUUGUCCGGAUUUAUUGGGCGUAAAGCGAGCGCAGGUGGUUUAUUAAGUCUGGUGUAAAAGGCAGUGGCUCAACCAUUGUAUGCAUUGGAAACUGGUAGACUUGAGUGCAAGAGAGGAGAGUGGAAUUCCAUGUGUAGCGGUGAAAUGCGUAGAUAUAUGGAGGAACACCGGUGGCGAAAGCGGCUGUCUGGCCUGUAACUGACACUGAGGCUCGAAAGCGUGGGGAGCAAACAGG